UCCAAGUUUCAGGGAAGGUGAAAUUCCUUACUGGCGGUAGCUGAGUCACGUCACUCAGGAGCCCGCGACCCGCGCAAGCGGUGGAUGUCGGUGAGAAUCCGAAGCCAACGGUCACAGUCCGGAUGGAAGAAACGAGGC
This 138-nucleotide non-coding RNA is filed under the name Bifidobacterium actinocoloniiforme. RNAcentral's name for it is "FMN sequence". It matches the Rfam family "FMN riboswitch aptamer (RFN element)". From Rfam's summary of the family: The RFN element is a highly conserved domain that is found frequently in the 5'-untranslated regions of prokaryotic mRNAs that encode for flavin mononucleotide (FMN) biosynthesis and transport proteins. RNAcentral also lists the same sequence under 1 other name. The record is from RNAcentral. Lineage: Bacteria; Bacillati; Actinomycetota; Actinomycetes; Bifidobacteriales; Bifidobacteriaceae.